UUCCGGUUGAUCCCGCCGGACCCGACUGCUAUUUGGGUGAGGAUAAGCCAUGCGAGUCGAAUGGGAUACCUUAAAUUUCCCAUGGCGAACUGCUCAAUAACACAUGAUCAACUUGCCCUAUAGAGAAAAAUAACCUCGGGAAACUGAGGAUAAUGUUUCAUAGUUGAAAAGGCUUGGAAAAGUUUUUCAACCAAAGGGAUAAAAAAAAUGGUUUUUAUCCGCUAUAGGAUAGGAUCGUGCUCGAUUAUGGUCGUUGGUGAGGUAACGGCUCACCAAGCCGAUAAUCGAUAGGGGCCGUGAGAGCGGGAGCCCCGAGAUGGGUACUGAGACAGCGACCCAGGCCUUACGAGGCGCAGCAGGCGCGGAACCUCCGCAAUACACGAAAGUGUGACGGGGUUACCCAAAGUGUUCAUUUAUGGACUGUGGUAGGUGAGUAAUGUCCCCUACUAGAAAGGAGAGGGCAAGGCUGGUGCCAGCCGCCGCGGUAAAACCAGCUCUUCAAGUGGUCGGGAUAAUUAUUGGGCUUAAAGUGUCCGUAGCCGGUUUAGUAAGUUCCUGGUAAAAUCAGGUAGCCUAACUAUCUGCAUGCUAGGAAUACUGCUAUACUAGAGGGCGGGAGAGGUCUGAGGUACUACAGGGGUAGGGGUGAAAUCUUAUAAUCCUUGUAGGACCACCAGUGGCGAAGGCGUCAGACUGGAACGUGCCUGACGGUGAGGGACGAAAGCCAGGGGAGCGAACCGGAUUAGAUACCCGGGUAGUCCUGGCCGUAAACGAUGCAUACUAGGUGAUGGCAUGGCCAUGAGCCAUGUCAGUGCCGUAGGGAAACCGUUAAGUGUGCCGCCUGGGAAGUACGGUCGCAAGGCUAAAACUUAAAGGAAUUGGCGGGGGAGCACCACAAGGGGUGAAGCCUGCGGUUCAAUUGGAUUCAACGCCGGG
This 936-nucleotide ribosomal RNA is filed under the name uncultured archaeon. RNAcentral describes it as "bacterial SSU rRNA". It matches the Rfam family "Archaeal small subunit ribosomal RNA", at positions 1 to 922 of the family's 1478-position model. The record is from RNAcentral.